RNAcentral lists this ribosomal RNA (495 nucleotides) under uncultured bacterium. Its description in RNAcentral is "bacterial SSU rRNA". It matches the Rfam family "Bacterial small subunit ribosomal RNA", at positions 15 to 507 of the family's 1533-position model. The record is from RNAcentral.
GAUCCUGGCUCAGAUUGAACGCUGGCGGCAUGCCUUACACAUGCAAGUCGAACGGUAACAGGCCGCAAGGUGCUGACGAGUGGCGAACGGGUGAGUAAUACAUCGGAACGUGCCCGAUCGUGGGGGAUAACGGAGCGAAAGCUUUGCUAAUACCGCAUACGAUCUACGGAUGAAAGCAGGGGACCGCAAGGCCUUGCGCGGACGGAGCGGCCGAUGGCAGAUUAGGUAGUUGGUGGGAUAAAAGCUUACCAAGCCGACGAUCUGUAGCUGGUCUGAGAGGACGACCAGCCACACUGGGACUGAGACACGGCCCAGACUCCUACGGGAGGCAGCAGUGGGGAAUUUUGGACAAUGGGCGAAAGCCUGAUCCAGCCAUGCCGCGUGCAGGAUGAAGGCCUUCGGGUUGUAAACUGCUUUUGUACGGAACGAAAAGACUCUGGUUAAUACCUGGGGUCCAUGACGGUACCGUAAGAAUAAGCACCGGCUAACUACGUG